GACGAAGGAUGCAAGCGUUAUCCGGAUUCACUGGGUUUAAAGGGUGCGUAGGCGGCCUGCUAAGUCAGUGGUGAAAGCUCCCGGCUCAACCGGGAAACUGCCAUUGAAACUGUCAGGCUUGAGUAUAAUUGAAGUGGGUGGAAUACAUCAUGUAGCGGUGAAAUGCUUAGAUAUGACGUAGAACUCCAAUUGCGAAGGCAGCUCACUAAAUUGUCACUGACGCUGAGGCACGAAAGCGUGGGGAGCAAACAGG
Molecule: ribosomal RNA, 253 nt
Filed under: uncultured bacterium
Lineage: Bacteria
Description: partial 16S ribosomal RNA
Rfam family: Bacterial small subunit ribosomal RNA
Source: RNAcentral